ACGAACCGUACGAACGUUAUUCGGAAUCACUGGGCUUAAAGAGUGCGUAGGCGGCUUGGUAGGUUGGGUGUGAAAUCCCUCGGCUCAACCGAGGAAUUGCGCCCAAAACCCUCAAGCUUGAGGGAGAUAGAGGUGAGCGGAACUGAUGGUGGAGCGGUGAAAUGCGUUGAUAUCAUCAGGAACACCGGUGGCGAAGGCGGCUCACUGGGUCUCUACUGACGCUGAGGCACGAAAGCUAGGGGAGCAAACGGG
RNAcentral lists this ribosomal RNA (252 nucleotides) under uncultured bacterium. RNAcentral's name for it is "partial 16S ribosomal RNA". It matches the Rfam family "Bacterial small subunit ribosomal RNA", at positions 525 to 776 of the family's 1533-position model. The record is from RNAcentral.